RNAcentral lists this long non-coding RNA (15171 nucleotides) under Citrus maxima (pomelo). Its description in RNAcentral is "long non-coding RNA (CMAX_LNC002873)". Lineage: Eukaryota; Viridiplantae; Streptophyta; Magnoliopsida; Sapindales; Rutaceae. The record is from RNAcentral.
GAAAAUCACAUACUGUGGCCACGAAUUGAAUGAGUUUGUGCCACAGAGAACCUGUGCUUACAUCAGUCAACAUGAUCUUCACCAUGGAGAGAUGACAGUGAGAGAGACACUGGAUUUCUCAGGACGAUGCUUAGGUGUGGGUACAAGAUAUGAACUGCUGGCUGAACUUUCGAGAAGAGAGAAACAACAAGGAAUUAAGCCGGAUCCUGAGAUUGAUGCAUUCAUGAAAGCCGUGGCAGUUGCAGGCCAAGAGACUAGCUUGGUUACAGAUUAUGUUCUCAAGGUUUGCUCUUCAUUUCAACUUAGCUUAUUUCGUUCGUAACAUAUUUCAUGAUACUUAAGAUUUAGAAUUUGUAACAGCUUCUUGGCUUGGACAUAUGCGCCGAUACUAUGGUUGGUGAUGAGAUGAGAAGAGGUAUUUCUGGUGGACAGAAAAAGCGUGUUACAACAGGUAUGUUGCCUUCGACAAGUCCUUGAAAUUCUUGUUUCUUCAGUCACAAGUUUCUCUAGUAGUAGCUGCUUUAUAAUUACUAUGAAAUUGUUUUGUUCUUCUAUUGCAAGUAUUAACAUUUACAAUCUAAUUGUGUGCAGGAGAGAUGUUAGUCGGAGCAGCAAAGGUACUUUUAAUGGAUGAAAUAUCAACUGGAUUGGAUAGCUCUACCACUUUUCAGAUUUGCAAGUUUUUGAAGCAAAUGGUUCACAUCAUGGACGUAACAAUGAUCGUUGCUCUUCUGCAACCAGCACCAGAGACCUAUGAUCUCUUUGACGACAUUAUCUUAAUUUCAGAAGGUCAAAUUGUCUAUCAUGGCCCACGUGAUAAUGUCCUCGAGUUCUUUGAACAAAUGGGUUUCAAAUGCCCUGAAAGAAAAGGAGUUGCAGAUUUUCUGCAGGAAGUUACUUCGAAGAAGGAUCAAGAACAAUAUUGGUUUAGAAAAAAUCAACCCUACAGAUAUAUUCCAGUGUCUGAUUUUGUGGAAGGUUUCAAAUCUUUCCACAUGGGCCAGCAGCUUGCGUCGGAUCUUAGGGUCCCUUAUGAUAAAUCCCAAACCCACCCCGCUGCAUUGGUGAAAGAGAAGUAUGGUAUUUCAAAAUGGGAAUUAUUCAGGGCAUGUUUUGCAAGGGAGUGGCUGCUAAUGAAGCGCAAUUCGUUUGUAUAUAUUUUCAAGACUUUCCAGUUAACAUUCAUGUCCUUAAUUUGCAUGACGGUGUUCUUUAGAACAGAAAUGUCAGUGGGAGAUCUGGAAGGUGGCAAUAAGUAUUUCGGAGCACUGUUUUUCAGUCUGCUUAAUAUUAUGUUUAACGGGAUGGCAGAACUUUCAAUGACUGUUUUGAGGCUACCUGUAUUUUAUAAACAAAGGGAUCACUUAUUCUAUCCUGCGUGGGCUUUUGCCUUACCUAUAUGGGUUCUCCGGAUCCCAUUAUCACUCCUGGAUUCAACAAUAUGGAUCGUUCUGACCUACUACACAAUAGGUUUUGCUCCAGCGGCAAGCAGGUAAAAGUAGUACUCAGAUUUACAGCUUAUUUUCAUUGUACUUCUACACCAUAGGAUUUUGAGUUUAUAUUUCCAUAUUUUAUUGUUUUGUCAAAGAUUGCAUCUGUGCUAGCUACAUAGUGGUUAGAGUUUCUUUGACUGAAAUUUAUUUCAUUUUUUCUUCGUUCAGGUUCUUCAAACAAUACUUGGCAUACUUUUGUAUACACAAUAUGGCUCUGCCCCUUUACCGGUUCAUUGCUGCUAUUGGAAGAACUGAGGUUAUUACAAACGCACUGGGUACUUUUGCCUUGUUACUCAUUUUUUCACUCGGAGGAUUCAUCAUUGCCAAAGGUAAGUUGAUUUCCUUUUUCUCACUAUGUUAUUAAUAGUGGCAAGGAUUGGUAUUUUGAAUAAGAAAUCUGAAACCUUUGAUAGAAGCUAUUUUCUCUUUAGUUCAAGCAGUCAUUUACUUUUUGUCUGCAGAUGACAUUGAGCCAUUCCUGGAAUGGGGCUACUAUGUUUCGCCUAUGAUGUAUGGACAGACUUCCAUACUUGUAGAUGAAUUCCUUGAUGGAAGAUGGGAUGUGGUAAGACCUUUUAUGCUUUGGCUAUUUCUUCCUGGCCAUAAUUCAUCUUCCAAUGCUUAUAUAUCUCAUUCUAUUGCAGCCCAGUGGAGACCGCAGCAUUAAUGAACGUACACUUGGGAAAGCACUUCUCAAGAGGAGAGGCUUCUACAAUGACAGUUACUGGUAUUGGAUUGGCAUCGGAGCACUGAUUGGAUUUUCUUUUCUCUUCAACUUUUUGUUUAUUGCAGCAUUGACUUACUUGAAUCGUAAGUUAUCGAAUUUAAACAUUGUUUCUUUGCAUAAAAAUGAAGUUUCAAUGGUGACCAAUAAAAAAUGUGGGACAUACAUUUCAGCUAUCGGUGAUUCAAACUCAACUGUCGUUGAAGAAGAUGGAGACAAGAAGCGAGCAUCUGGAAAUGAAGUAGAAGGUUUAUGCCCUUGCCUUGCCAUCUUUAACUUUUUUUUUUUUUUCUUGCUUGUUCCUCCUAUAGCAACUGCCAGUGAUUAACAAGCAAUUUAUCUAUUUUGGCAACAGAAGUUGAUUUACAAUCAAACAUUUCAUAGCCUUCUAUUGGUUAUGAUAUCAAAAUGUUAUAAAUGCCUGAACAUAUUUUGAACAACCGCAGGAACGCAAAUGACAGUGAGAAGUUCAACUGAAAUUGUUGGAGAAGAAGAAAAUGCACCAAGAAGAGGGAUGAUUUUGCCCUUCCGACCCCUUUCACUUACAUUCAACCAGAUGAAUUACUACGUCGAUAUGCCAGCAGUAAGUCAUCAGCUCAGUACAUGAUUAAAAAUGUGACAUAAAUGUCUGAUUGCUUUGGGAUCAACUCUUUCAUUUAUGUGACCAAAUUUACUUGGCAUUCUACUCCAGGAAAUGAAAACUGAAGGAGUUGGAGAAGAUCGUCUUCAACUGUUACACAGUGUCAGUGGUGCAUUCAGACCAGGAGUACUGACAGCAUUAAUGGGUGUAAGUGGUGCAGGGAAGACAACUCUAAUGGAUGUAUUGGCAGGAAGGAAGACCGGAGGAUACAUCGAAGGAGACAUUAAGAUUUCUGGUUACCCCAAAAAACAAGAAACGUUUGCUCGUGUCAGUGGUUAUUGUGAACAGACUGACAUUCAUUCUCCUCAUGUUACUCUCUAUGAAUCUCUUCUCUACUCAGCAUGGCUUCGUCUUUCUUCAGACGUCGAUACAAAAAAACGAAAGGUACUAAUUUCGUCUAUACUCUUUCGGCAGGCAUUGAAAGAUUACCUAAUGAUCCAAUUGUGAUUAUUUUUUUUCUUCUUCCUUUUUGUCCGGCAGAUAUUCGUUGAUGAAGUUAUGGAGUUGGUUGAGCUUAAACCAUUGAGGGAUGCUUUGGUUGGCCUUCCAGGAGUAAAUGGUCUUUCAACAGAGCAAAGGAAGAGAUUGACAAUUGCUGUAGAAUUGGUUGCUAACCCUUCAAUCAUCUUCAUGGACGAGCCAACAUCUGGCCUUGAUGCUAGAGCAGCUGCUAUUGUCAUGCGUACGGUUAGAAAUACAGUGGAUACAGGGAGAACGGUUGUGUGCACAAUUCAUCAGCCAAGCAUAGACAUUUUUGAAGCAUUUGAUGAGGUAUUGCUGAAUUCUUAUAAAUUUUCUUGGGAAUGUGUUAUUCUAAGUUUUCUAGUCUAAUUUCAUUGCACAUAUUGAAAGUGAUGUUGUGCUUGUUGCAGCUUUUGUUAAUGAAAAGAGGGGGCCGUGUCAUUUAUGCUGGACCUCUUGGUCGCGAAUCUCACAAGCUCAUAGAAUAUUUUGAAGUAAGCUUGCCUUUUUUUCCUUUCUGUGGUUGGUUCUCUUAUCAUUAAAUAGACAAAUGAUUGACUUGAUCAUUACAUUAUCUCUAAUGAAUUUUUGGCUCAGAAUUUGAGCAGUAGAAAUACGAUUACCGCCAAUAGGAAUCAAAAUGUGUACUAAUAUUUAUGAAAAUUCAGGCUGUUCCAGGGGUUCCUAAAAUUAAGGAUGCAUACAAUCCUGCAACAUGGAUGCUCGAGGUCAGUAAUAUUUCGGUUGAGAAUCAACUGGGAGUGGAUUUUGCUGAAAUUUAUGCCAAUUCAUCUCUUCAUCAGUAAGUUUGAGCCCAAAGCCCAACACCUUUUUUGGUUACUCAUAUUGUUUUUUAUAUUGCCGCGAAUUCUUGGUCUUUUUCUUAUAUUUUACUUUCUUGAAUCACUUUUCAGGAGAAAUCAGGAACUUAUCAAAGAGCUUAGUACUCCGGAACCUGGCUCGUCGGAACUCCACUUCCCAACCAAGUACUCCCAACCAUUUUUCACUCAAUUUAAGGCUUCUUUCUGGAAACAGUAUUGGUCUUACUGGAGAAAUCCUCAAUACAACGCUAUUCGAUUUCUCAUGACUGCCACCAUCGCCAUUUUCUUCGGUCUUCUCUUCUGGGACAAAGGACAGAAGAGGUAAGUCGACUCCCCUUUCCUUUUCCUUUUGGUGCUUAUGCUGAAACUGAUUAGACUACAAUUAGUAGUGCAGAAUCUUUUAGGAGCUAAAUUGAUAAAAAAAUUUCCCCCCUUUUUUUAAACAGUUCCAGACAACAGGAUCUACAGAAUCUUUUAGGAGCUAUGUAUUCGGUUUGUCUUUUCCUUGGGACCACCAAUGCCGUGUCUGCGAUACCUGUUAUCUGUGUUGAGAGAACGGUAUACUACCGUGAAAGGGCAGCCGGGAUGUUUUCUGCACUGUCUUAUGCACUUGGUCAAGUACGAAAUACAUUUCAUCUCUUCAAGAACUUAAUGUGCUUCGAUAGCUAACUUCCGCUUGUGAUAGAACAGGAACUUUAUUAUUCGCAAACUGACUAAUGAACACUCCCUAAUGCUGCAGGUUGCAGUAGAGAUAAUAUAUGUGACAGCUCAAACUGUCAUGUAUGUUCUUAUCCUUUACUCGAUGAUAGGAUUCAAGUGGGAGCUGGGAAAAUUCUUCUUGUUCUUCUACUUCAUGUGGGCGUCUUUUGUCAUUUUCACAUUGUACGGAAUGAUGAUUGUCGCAUUGACUCCUGGCCAGCAAGUUGCUACCAUUGUCUUGUCCUUCUUCCUUGCACUAUGGAACUUGUUCGCCGGUUUCAUGAUUCCCAGACAGGUAUGUGCUGCAAACACAAUACUUCUUCCAUAUUUGAUUUUCCAUUUUUAUCCACGUCAAUAUGAAUAAAAUCGUCCCUAAAGCCGUUGAGGGCAUAGCAUAAAAAAUUUGUGCAGCUGCGUAAGCUGAAAAUGAACAAGACCGUGCUGAAUGGAAGCAAGUUUUAAUUUUUAUUUCUUCACAAUUCUGUAGCAUCUAUUUUUUAGACUAACAGUUGAUGUGCAUACACAACAGGAAAUUCCUGUCUGGUGGAGGUGGUACUACUGGCUUUCUCCGGUGGCUUGGAAUCUGUAUGGCCUUGUGACUUGUCAAGUUGGUGACGUAGAGACACAGGUGCAGAUCCCUGAUGGCACUUCAAUGACAGUGAAGCAAUUUGUCAAAGAUAAUUACGAUUACAAGACUGAUUUCAUUCCUGUGGUCGCUGUUGUGCAUCUUGCCUGGAUUGCCGUCUUCUUAUUUGUGUUUGCCUAUGCCAUCAAGUCCAUCAACUUCCAAAGGAGAUAAACCUGUAGCUCAAAUCUUUAGAAUGCUACCUAUUCUUAGAAUUGUAAUCUUUCAAUUUUGCUUGUUACUUGACUUUUAAGUAGAAAUUGUGAUAUGGAAUCCAAUGUAUUCUUUUAUGAAAAUUAAAUGAAUAAAGAAGUUUAAUUUUUGCAAAGAAUUUUUCAUAGAAAUUGUGAUAUCUACAUAUUUCUUAGCCCAUGGAAAAAUUCAGUUUAAGAAAAUACCCCCACUUGAUCCUGGAGUUUUCUCUAGGAUUCAAACAAUCUUCUGAGUUUUCUCUUCAAAGUUGUGAUAUUUUACGAAUCUUGAAAGUAUUUACUGCAUGCAGAUGGAGAAUUAAAAGUCCAUUAACCUGGAAGUAUGCCAGUUUUCUGCUUUCGCGUUUCUAAAUAAAACAGUGGGAUUUUCACUAGCUAGUGAAUUAUCAUCCGACCCCUGUACAGCUUUGUCUAUGUUUUUGGUUUGGUAUCUCUCCCUCUUUCAUUCAUCAAGUUAAUAUUAUUUACAUGUUUACUGUGGGGAUUUUCUCACAGAGCAUUGAUACCUGGACCUCCAGUAUCUGAUGAAUGUGUCAGUUAGACACUAGGGAUGGCAAUGGAUUGGAUCUGAUCCAAUAUCCACGUGAUCCAAAUCCAAUCGGAUCGGAUUUGGAUCGGUUUAAAAUGGAUUUGGAUCGGAUUUGGAUAUUAAUGUGCGGAUCUAAGAUGGAUCUGGAGCAGAUCUGGAUCUAUCUUAAUAUCUAAAUCCAUAUCCAUAUCCACUCAUCUUUUAAUUUUAUUUUAUUUUAAAAGUUUCUUAACAAUUGUGAAAUUAUAAUGAUAAUAAAUUUUAUUCAUAACAUAUUAGUAGUAUUUACCAUGCAUUUAAACUCUUAAAACUUAAAGGUUAGUUUUGUAAAUUUAAAGGUCAGUCAGCCUCAAAACAUGUACAUGCAAUAUUCAAAUUGUAAGUCAAGUAAUAUAACUUGACAAUUUAUUUUAUUAUAUUGGCCAAAUAAUUUUUAAGGAAUAUAGUUAUUCAUAUAUUUAGUCAAAUAUGGUCAUAAUAAAAAUAAUAAAGGACUGAAUAUAAAUCAUAUUUAAUUUAUAUAUCAUUAUCUAAUGUUGUAGGAAUGAGGGUAGGUGUAUCGUGGAUAUUAGAAUGGUGAAGGAGACAAUAGAAUAUUAGAUUGAUCUUACUCUUGCAAUUACUUCGGAAUGAUAUUUUAUUAUCUUUCUUAUUUGUUGUUUUGGUGUAAAAGUAUAAGCUACAAUAUUUAUUAUAUUUUUGAGAAAAAUUAUAUAAUUUAUUUGUUAUCAAUACAUUUUACCCUUCAAUUUUCAAUCUAAAAAAUUAUUACUUUUUUAUUACUGAAUUUUAGAAUUCAUGACGAAUCUAGAGCAGAUUUGGAUUUUAAUUUUUUUUUUCCGGAUUUGGAGCAGAUAUAGAUAUUUAUUUCUUUUUUGGAUCUGGAUAUGGAGCGAAAAAUGUGGAUUCAUGACGGAUCUAAAGCAGAUACGGAUCUUGAUUUUUAUUAUGGAUUUAGAUUUGGAGCAGAGUAGAUCCAACCCAUAUCUGCCCCAUUGCCAUCCCUAUUAGACACCCGAGACCAUAAUAAGUAGCAUCCAAACCGUAAAUCCGUUACCUUAUUUGUCAUAUUUAAUAGAUUGUCUAAAUUUGACUAGAAUUAUAGUACUAUGUAUAAUUAGGUGUAUGAACUCAACCGAUUGUUAUAAUUAAGCCCAAAUAGCAGUUUACAUAUAAGUCUAAUAGAAGGCCACAUAUAAAGCCCAACAUAGAAAAUAUGAAAAUAAACUCUCACUACUGUAUAGAGAGACUUGAACCCUCUACCUAAUACAAAAGAUAUUAACAAAUUCCACCAAAUAAUUGUCAGCUAUUAUACCCUAAAAUUAAGAAUUUUUUGAUAGAUAUUUUCUCAUAAAAUCAAUAAACUUUGACCAUAUCAAGCAAAAUAGUAAUAUCAAUCCACUUACCUACUCUUGGUACUACUAGUAGGAAGUUAAGUUAUAAUUUUAGAGUGUUUGAUAAAUACUUGCAAUUCUGUUGGAAGCUUAAGUCACAAUUGUUUGAUGAUGAAAUUUUGAAAAUAGAUUUAUUAUUUAAUUCAUAAUAUUUUUGAAAAGAAACAUUAUUUCACCUUUUAAUAUGUAUUUAAUAAUUGAUCCAAUGUAUGAGAAAGGAUAAUUUAUUUUAAUUAUGAUAUAUGAUAGGUGUAAUGUCAAGAUCAAAGCUACUUGAUUCAAAGUUCAAACCAAACCCACAUCAAUUAACUAGAGUGGUUCGUUAAAAGGAAAAAAAGAAAAAGAAAAAGAAAAAAAAAAAAGAGUUGUGGUUAUUGAAAUCCAAAGUCAUGCCGGGUCACCUUCAAACUCGUACUUUGGACAUUCCUUUAUUUCCCUGGUGUCUUGCUACAGAUAUUUAUGGAAACCGAAUACAUAACAUUUUUUUUAAUUGGGUAUUUAAAAGACAGGAUCAUUAUUUAUAUAUUUUAUUUAUUUAUUAUAUUUAAAUUUGUUAAUUGGAAAAAUCCAACGUCUAAAACCACUAGCCCUUGAAUUUCAGAAACGGUUAUAUUAUAAUUAUGCCUAUCUGAUAAUAAUAAUGCAAGCUGAAGCUCUUUGAAAAGGGCAAUAACAAUAAUAAUAAUAAUAAUAAUAAUGCAACUAAAUGAUUAUAAAAACUUUUGUUAUGUUAUAUAAUCAUGUAACAUAUAUGAUUAUGUAGUAAUUAUAAAAAUUUUAUUUAAUUAUAAAAAUAAUAUAAUUUUAUUAUUUUAUACCUACAGAACUGUUGAAUGAAAAUUCAAUUAACUGCUGCAUAAUUGUAUAGUUAUGUAACGUAAGGAUCUCCGAUUAUAAAAUAAAAAGUAAAAGAAGUCCCCUGUUAAAGAAAAGCGAUGUGAUUACUGAUGGAGUUCAUGAACAAAGAAAACUGAAGUGAACAAGAAUCUUGUGCCCCACGUGACUAUAUGUGGGCCCGCUGUGCACGAGGAUUAAGGAUGCUUUCACUCUGUUCACGUGGGAAGAUCAUAAGCAAAAUUUCUCGUCCAGUGGCAGUACUAUUGUGAUCCGAGCAUAUUACUUGCUGGAGGACUGAUUCCAAUCAGAAUGCGACACAGUAGCACUCAUUGAGUUGACCUCCGGACAUGCUAAGAGAAAAUUCAUCACUUGACCAAUUCAGACAAUUUGUCUGCCUGAGAAAUGGAGAUGCGUAGGCGAUAUAUAGAUUUUGCUACCUUACAUGUAAUAUAAGGUACAACCUUUUACAAGGCUGUAGGCUUAAAUAAGACCCAUAAUUCAAUUUGUGAGAGACUCUAAGGUAGCAGCUCCCUCUAUAUAUAUAUAUAUAUAUAUAUAUAUGGGUCCUUCUAUCUUACAUGCAUGCAAGAUACAUCCCCUUACAUGAAUAGUGCAUGUGUGGGACCUACACACUAUUCAUGUGAGAGAAAUAUAUCUUACAUGCAUGUAAGAUAAUGUUUGCCUAUAUAUAUAUAUAUAUAUAUAUAUAUAUAUAUAUAUAUAUAUAUAUAUAUAUAAAUAGCACUCACACCCAAACAGGCUUUGCCUAACUUUCUGGAAAAUAUUAUUAACUGUACUGCAACUGAAAGAAAGGCUUUUGUCUUUUGAGCUGAUUGCAUUACUGCCCAGUGCAAAUUGAGCUUUCUUGAGAAAAGCAAAAAAUGAUCCUUUCCCUUUCUUUCUGGAUUAAAAAUCUUUCUCAUUAUCACGCGCAUGCAUCGUUGAGUGUGAGCUCGGCAAACUUCUAACGUUAUCUCUGACUUUGAUGAUUCCAGCCAAUUUCCUCUCUUUCAUACCAGAGGCGAGGGUAGUACAAUGAAGUUGCUAUGUAACGGCACGUUUGGUGUUUUAUAUAUAUAUAUAUAUAUAUAUAUUUUCAACUUGUAUUUUUUUUCAAAAAAAAAAAAUGGUAAUAUUGAAGGGGACGAAAUCAUAAAUUACUUAAAAUGGCUAAAUUAGCCUUUGUUGUCUUGAGUUUCCAAAGGUCUAAAAUGUGGGUCUGAUAUUCGUCAAGAGUAAUGAUACAACCAUAAAUUAUUGUAUAAAUUUAUUUUGUACAAACUGACGUGGCACUAAUUCAUUGGUUGAAUAAAAAUAUAAAAUAAUAAAAACAAAUCAUGUGGGUCAAGUGAUAUUUAAUUCAACCAAUCUUAUCAUGCCACAUAAAUUUAUACAAAAUAAAUUUGUACAAGAAUUUGUAGCUAUAUCAUUACUCAUUCGUCAAAGACACUAUACUGACUAUAUAAAGGGAACUUUUCAUUCAAAAAUGUAUUCUCUCUUUCAAUUUCUUAUACACACAACUGAGGGACAAUAGUGCUCUUGCAAAAUCUAUUAUGUGUGUGUCUCUCUCUCUCUUUUUUUCCCCUUUAAUUUUCUGCAUCUCUCUUCAGUUAUGUGUAUGAGAAAUUGAAAGAGAGAAUCCCUUUCUAAAUGAAAAGUUCCCUUUUUAUGUAUAUGUAGUUGUUUAUGGAGGAAAAUAACUAUCCUUCUCUUGAAUGUCCGUCCAAGUGCAGCUGCUUCGUGUUCACGAUAAUGUGGUGAAAUAGGAUUUGCUGGUGUAAAUCUAUGCACCUACAACUCUAUAAAUUAAAAUGGUGUUGUUGAGUUAAUAUUUUUUUAUAUAACCGAGACAUUAAUUUUGUAUUUAAAUGAUGUCACAUACAUUUAAAGGAUCAUUCUUUCGUAAAAUUUUAUAAUUUUUUGAAAACUGGAACGCACAUGGAAUUGGCUUUUAGUUCAGGUUUAAUAUAUGGAUCGUAUCUACCUAUCACAUAUUCUCUUGUCUCUCUUCAUAUGAUCUUAUCCCCAUUUUCAUGCUCUGUCCCUCUUCUUUUUUUUUUUUUGAUUGAUAAUGAUAUGAAUUCUAGAAAACUGAAAUGCACAUGCAAUCAUACAGUACCCACUCCAAAAAAACCAGCCUGUAAAGUCUUAAUAAACUGUAACUUAGCUUUAAAAUAACUAAUUAUUUUGUCAUCUCAUAUUCUCAUCCAGAGGAAAACAUUAUUGGUCAAUAUUAAUACGUGCCAGCAUUACAAUAACUUCGGGAGCAAAACUAUAUUAUAAUUUUAUUUGUUCUAUCUAAAUCCUGGCUGGCGAGAUUCUCCGCAUUAAUUUCGAAAUUUUCAGGUAAAAGAAACAAAAUAUUAAUUAAUGUGUCAUAUUUAUUGAAUUAGAAAGAAAACGAAACACACACCGAUCACACAACGGUGCUUCAGUUUUUUUUUUACAAAAAAAAAUAAAAAAUAAAAUCAGGAUUCUCUUCUGAUCUGAUCUUCUCAUGAGUAAAUAUACAUGUGGUGAUUGAUUGUUAAUAAAAUAAAAAAAUAAAGAAGUUAAAUCAUAUCCAUACACUAUCACUUAAAGACAGAUAACAUAAAAUCUUUUAAAAGCUCAUGAGAGCUCAGAUGAAGAGAGGAUAUUUUUUCCAAAAAAAAGAACCACAAUCACUAAUUUCUCAUAAUUUCCCCACUUCAUUUCCUCUGUAUGUAACUCCUUAAUUUGUUUAAUAAAUGAACCAUGUAUGCAUGCCCACCAUUCUGUACUCUAUAUUCAGCAUAUAUUAAAGUUAGCACGAUCUAAUGUGACAGAGGAGAGAGAAGAUAAAGAACAAGAAAAUAGUAGAAAAUUAAAUUAAAUUUACAUUGAUGGAUAAUUUAGUAAUUAUAAGUUUACAUUGAAUGAGGUUUUUGGUUAUUUUAACACAAAAGUAAUAACUCAUAGUAUGCAUAAUCGUAAAUUUUUAUAAUGUGUCGGGAUUUUUUUUUUUUUUUUUUUGUUUUAUAAUGUCUCAUCCUCACCACCCAAUGAAACGUAUUUAUGAAAGAAUAAAUUGCAUGGUUAUAGAAAAUAGAUUUUUUUUUUAAAAUUCGGAAUCUAGCCAUUUAGAUGCACCAUAAAUAUUUCCAAUAUGAGUGGUUGAGCUGCUACCCUCACACUCGUGAGAGCAGUGGUUCAAGCCCCCACAAAAAUAUUGUGGGGCUAAAAUUUCAUUCUCAAUUAUAUAAAUAAUUGUCUCUCUUGAAAUGAGAGUGUAGUCAAUAUCUCUCUGUUUGAUUGUAAAUAUAUUAGUAAAUAUUCUCAUGUAAUGUGAGUUGUAAUCAUAUACAUUAGUCUUUAUAAUAAAUAAAAAAAAAAUUCCAAUUUUAUGGCUUAUAAGAACGUCAUCAUUACGAGAUUCACUACCUUUGAAUUUCUUUAAUUCGUUAGUGAGCUUUUUUCACAUAGUCAAUAUUAUUUCAAAAACAAAAAUACUAGACAAUUCAAAAAUUAGGACUUGAAAGGUACGUCUUCUCAGCCACCAUAUAUGAGCAGCUCAUGCAGCAACGCCGCCCCUUAGGAGUGGGCAUAAAUUACACAAACGGAGCUAAUCUUGUUAAAAUUAGCUAAAAAGAUAUCAUUUUAACAGGGACUGAUAGGGACUCUAAAGAUUUAAUAUUGAUCAUACACGUCUUAAUUAUCUUUUUUUUUAAUCUAUUUGAUGAUCUCGGAUAUAUUAUAUAUAUUUCUCUAGGAUCUGUGGUAUAUAUAAACCAUGGUUAGAUGGUUUCAUUUUAGUCAACACCAUUAUCAUCAAUAAAAAAGAAUUAUAUAGCAAAGGGGAAUUUUUCUUUUUACUUUGACUGCUCAGGAAAAUAAUGACUCGUGUAAGCCGUGCAUUUUUCACAAAUUCUGUCAACAAAAUUCAACAAGUCCCAAUAGAUAGUACUGUAUCAGUAGUAAUUGGGAAUACUAUUGGCUAAUUAAUUUAAUUCGUAAUUAGACAAGUAAAUCAGAAAAAAUAUCAUGCCGUUGUUGUCAGCAUUUUGUCUAGAUUUUUUAUAUCUAAAUAUCAGUGAUAAGAUUAUCAGCAAGUCUCCAUCAACUUGUUGUUUUUUAAAUAAAUAUAAAUCAAGAUGGACCGACAAAUCUCCAUCACCUUGCUUGCUUUUUCGUAAUUAUAGGAGACUGAAAAUAUAUUUAAAAUUGUAGGGUUACCUGCUUGGAGGGGUAAGUAACUAAGUACAAUAAUUGCCAACUCAUUAAACGGCGUCGUGGUGAUUAAAAUCACGACUUCAAUCAAUAUGUUUAGAUUUUUUUUUUUUAAUGGUCAACGAUAGUUAAGGACUAAUGUGUAAAGAAAUUGAACAAGGUGGGUUCAUUUGUCAAAAUAUCCAAACCUGUGGGUUUUUUUAUUUUUAUUUCUCUAGAAGCAAAAGGUUUGAGUUGAGCCCCUCUUUUACGAAUGCGAAGAAUUACUAUUUGCCGAUGAAUAGAGUCUACAAAAGAAGACGAAGAAACUCUUCGUCAAUUAUUUGACCAAUAUAAAUAUAAAAUCAAAAGCUCCUCCCAAAUUGCUGCAGCGUCUCGAUGCAAUUAUUUCGAUUUUUUUUUUAAAUAAAAAUAAUCGAAGAUUCCUCCUCAUCUUCGCCAACUACUAGCUGUCAAGAAAGCCUCAUUAAAAUCGACAUCAUGAAUUGGACAACAGACUUCUUGGUCUAGUUGAUAAUUAAUUCAUGAAAAACAAAACCCGAAACGUGAUCCAAAAGUCGAUGUAUAAAUAAAUAAACAGAGAGAGCCCGCCUCUUUUGACGAGCGUUACAUCGUAAAUUAUUUCCAUUACCGAAAUAUAAUCAUUAAUCAAUAAAAUUUCAUAGACUAAAUAAACAAAUAUAACCAAAAUAACAAAAUAAAACGUGUUGCAAAAUUAAGAAUUUUAAAUUAAAAAAUAAAUAAAUGCAGAACCCGCCUGCUUUGACGAACGUUCCACGCAAGUAGUCUUUCUUUUUAUAAAUUGCCAGGCUGCUGCAUCCACUAGCACCCUUCACACUCCCUUUUAAAAUUCAUUUCUCCCACCAGCUUCAAUUUCAUUCUUUGAUUCAAGCCAUAAGCUGUUUUGUAAAGUUUUUCGUUUAUAUUCAAUCGGUUUACAUCUUAUUUUCUAAAGACUUUAAUAAGAAAAAGAUAAUAAAAUAAAGAAGAAGAAGAAGAGGUUUGGAUUGAACACAGCAAGAUGAGUGCCACCGUGGCAGACGAUCUAGCAAGAUCAUUUUCAGUGAGAGGGGGGCAGAGCAUAUCAUCGGGUAGCCGCCGGAGCUGGGCGUCGGCCAGCAUCCGGGAAGUAUGGAAUGCGCCGGACAACGUGUUCAGUAGGAGUGAAAGGCAGGACGAUGAAGAGGAGCUGCGGUGGGCCGCCAUUGAGCGGCUGCCGACCUACGAUCGGCUAAAGAAGGGCAUGCUAAACCAAGUUCUUGAAGAUGGAAAAGUUGUUAAACAUGAAGUUGAUGUCAGUAAUCUUGCCAUCCAAGAUAAGAAGCGGUUGCUCGAAAGUAUAUUGAAAAUCGUUGAAGAGGAUAAUGAAAAGUUCCUUAAAAGAAUUAGGCACAGAACUGAUAGGUAAACAAGUAUUUUUCAUUUUAUUUUGUUUGAUUUUGCCGAUUGAAUCAUUUGACUUUUUUUUUUUUUUUAAUGGUACACUUCUUUGUGAUUAAUGAUUGUAACAGAGUGGGAAUUGAGAUUCCUAAGAUUGAAGUUCGAUAUGAUCAUUUAUCCGUAGAAGGUGAUGUGCAUGUUGGAACCAGAGCUCUCCCUACCUUGCUUAAUGUUGCCUUGAACAUGUUGGAGGUAUUUUUUUCCCCUUUUCCAUUUAUUCUUGGUAUCUUUGUCUUCCAAUUUCUAAAAUUCUUUUGAAGAUUAAUUGUUGUUCUUCUGAUUUUUCAUGGAAAAUAGAGCGCUCUAGGAUUGUUGCAUUUAGUCCCAUCUAAGAAAAGAAGCGUUCGGAUCCUUAAAGAUGUCAGUGGGAUUGUCAAACCAUCAAGGUAAUUAAUUUCAUGAAAUAUGUUUUGUGAUCUGAUUAACCAAUAUUUGUUGUAUCGGUUACUGACAUAGAAAUUUCAGGAUGACACUACUUCUUGGUCCUCCUGGUGCCGGGAAAACAACAUUGAUGUUGGCUCUUGCUGGGAAGCUUGGUAAAGAUUUGAGGGUCUGUUUCCCAUCUCUUUACAAUUUGAUCUCUGAUUACUUUAUGUUUAAUUAUCUUAGAUAAGUUUCUGACAAUCUGGAUUUGGAGAACUGCACAGGCAUCUGGGAAAAUCACAUACUGUGGCCAUGAAUUGAAUGAGUUUGUGCCACAGAGAACCUGUGCUUACAUCAGUCAACAUGAUCUUCACCAUGGAGAGAUGACAGUGAGAGAGACACUGGAUUUCUCAGGAAGAUGCUUAGGUGUUGGUACAAGAUAUGAACUGCUCGCUGAACUUUCGAGAAGAGAGAAACAAGCAGGAAUUAAGCCAGAUCCUGAGAUUGAUGCAUUCAUGAAAGCCGUGGCAGUUGCAGGCCAAGAAACUAGUUUGGUUACAGACUAUGUUCUCAAGGUUUGCUCUCCAUUUCAACUUUGUUUUGUUUCACACGAUCGUAACAUAUUUCAUGAUACAUAAAAUUUAUUAACCAUAACAGAUUCUUGGCUUGGAUAUAUGUGCCGAUACUAUGGUUGGUGAUGAGAUGAGAAGAGGUAUUUCUGGUGGUCAGAAAAAGCGUGUUACA